GGUGAUCAACUGCCCUGGUUUGCCUGGGACUAAGGGGUUUCCCCAGAAUGCCAGACUGUCAGGGUUAAAAC
This 71-nucleotide microRNA precursor is filed under the name Myotis lucifugus (little brown bat). Its description in RNAcentral is "miRNA (ENSMLUG00000021729.1)". Lineage: Eukaryota; Metazoa; Chordata; Mammalia; Chiroptera; Vespertilionidae. The record is from RNAcentral.